Molecule: long non-coding RNA, 254 nt
Filed under: Mytilus galloprovincialis (Mediterranean mussel)
Lineage: Eukaryota; Metazoa; Mollusca; Bivalvia; Mytilida; Mytilidae
Source: RNAcentral
UCAGUUUUGUUGUUUGCCUGUGACAUAUGUUUUGCACAAAUUUUUAACGCCUGAUUGCAAUUUUUGUAUAGCUAUAUAUAUGCUAGUAUAUGUCUGUUUGGAGUGCUAGCUCAAUUUUGUCAAUAGAGGAAAUCAUUAACAACUGUCUUACAAUGUACAAGUAGGAGGAUAAGCUAUCUAUAAAACAGGUUUAACCAACCAUUUUCGUCGUACAAUGACUGUAAAAAUUUAGGAAUAUGGUAGCUGUAAAUAUU